Molecule: long non-coding RNA, 895 nt
Organism: Myotis myotis
Lineage: Eukaryota; Metazoa; Chordata; Mammalia; Chiroptera; Vespertilionidae
Exons: 3
Source: RefSeq, a predicted model, not a curated record
GGGAAUUGAGGCCCAUACAAAUUCACAACCUGCCCAAGGUAUGGAUCCCAAAUACGAACAACAGCAUUCUGACUCUUGAGUCCACAGCACUAUUCUGCCCCUUGUCAAUUUCUAAAAGAGAGCCAUUCAAAGGAAGACAGAGAAUCAACCCAGGGGAAUGAUCUUGCCAGUCUUUGGAAAAAAAGCACACCCCUGUUUUCCAAAAGCAUCAAAUCUUUGGAAAGAGAAGGAGAUAUUACUGGGGUAUUCAGGUUUCUCAAUGAGGAUAGGAUGCUGAGGCCUGACUUUUGAUGAGAAUACAUGCAUGGUUAUUGGAAGAGAUAUUUUCAGAGUAACAACUGGAGAAGUAUAUAUCAAGUGGGUCUGCAUGAGUGACAGCUAAAAACAGACAAACAAAAGCCAAACCAGAGCCAGAGGAAUAAACACAAGGACUGGGGGAGAAGGUACCAGCACAGGUGGCGCAGAAGCGGUGACAGGGCUGACAGUCCUGGCCGUUGAAGUACUGUCCGUCCUCACAGGCGAUGGAACACCGGGAUCCCUGCAGGCUGAGGACAUAGAGUGCUGUGAUCAAGGCAAUGAGGGUUUCCUAACUUCCAACAAUGAAAAACAUCCCACUAAUGAAGCUGGGCAACACCACCAUGUCAAGGUUGAAAAGCAAUGCCUCCGGCCGGGGAAAGGAAUGGCAGACUCCCAUCUUUUAGGACUACUCUGAUGAACUCUACUACACCACGGGGUGAUACCCUUGUUAAGACAAAUUAUGGAGAACUCAGAAAUAAGGCAAAAAAUACCUGCAGUCCUUUUCAGGGCCACGACAGAGCACUAACAGGUAGGUAUGCCCAAGGAUCAUUUAAUUCUCUAGAGAAUGUAGUUUUGUCUGUUUACGAAUGAUGGUUAA